Molecule: ribosomal RNA, 648 nt
Filed under: Stereum sanguinolentum
Lineage: Eukaryota; Fungi; Basidiomycota; Agaricomycetes; Russulales; Stereaceae
Description: eukaryotic LSU rRNA
Rfam family: 5.8S ribosomal RNA (bases 244-397)
Source: RNAcentral
ACGAGUACUCGGAGGACAUUAUUGAGUUUUGAAGUGGGCUUGAUGCUGGCGCCUUCACGGUGCAUGUGCUCAGCCCCGCUCUCAAAUCCACUUAACACCUGUGCACUUUCAAAGCUGUAGUCCUCCGUAAAGGGAGCCGCAUGUCAGUAAUGGCGUGCUGGGAUUGCACUUUGCCCCUUCAAUCACAAACUAUAUGCAUUGUCUUGUAGAAUGUAAUAGCCUCUUGUAGGCGAAACUUAAUACAACUUUCAACAACGGAUCUCUUGGCUCUCGCAUCGAUGAAGAACGCAGCGAAAUGCGAUAAGUAAUGUGAAUUGCAGAAUUCAGUGAAUCAUCGAAUCUUUGAACGCACCUUGCGCUCCUUGGUAUUCCGAGGAGCAUGCCUGUUUGAGUGUCGUGAAAUUAUCAACUCAAUUCUCUUUGAGAAGUGAGCUUGGACUUGGAGGCUGCUGGAACUUGUUUUCAGCUUCUCUUGAAUGCAUUAGCUGGACCUUUGACUUGCAGCAUAUAUGCGGUGUGAUAAUGUCGUCACUGUGUAGCUCAAGUCAGCUGGCUUCUAACCGUCCUUUCACGGGGACACUUGAUCAAUUUGACCUCAAAUCAGGUAGGACUACCCGCUGAACUUAAGCAUACAAAAAGGGGGGGAAA